AACCGGGGGAACUGAAACAUCUAAGUACCCCGAGGAAAAGAAAUCAACCGAGAUUCCCCCAGUAGCGGCGAGCGAACGGGGAGGAGCCCAGAGCCUGAAUCAGUGUGUGUGUUAGUGGAAGCGUCUGGAAAGGCGCGCGAUACAGGGUGACAGCCCCGUACACAAAAAUGCACAUACUGUGAGCUCGAUGAGUAGGGCGGGACACGUGGUAUCCUGUCUGAAUAUGGGGGGACCAUCCUCCAAGGCUAAAUACUCCUGACUGACCGAUAGUGAACCAGUACCGUGAGGGAAAGGCGAAAAGAACCCCGGCGAGGGGAGUGAAAAAGAACCUGAAACCGUGUACGUACAAGCAGUGGGAGCCUCUUUUAUGGGGUGACUGCGUACCUUUUGUAUAAUGGGUCAGCGACUUAUAUUCUGUAGCAAGGUUAACCGAAUAGGGGAGCCGAAGGGAAACCGAGUCUUAACUGGGCGUUAAGUUGCAGGGUAUAGACCCGAAACCCGGUGAUCUAGCCAUGGGCAGGUUGAAGGUUGGGUAACACUAACUGGAGGACCGAACCGACUAAUGUUGAAAAAUUAGCGGAUGACUUGUGGCUGGGGGUGAAAGGCCAAUCAAACCGGGAGAUAGCUGGUUCUCCCCGAAAGCUAUUUAGGUAGCGCCUCGUGAAUUCAUCUCCGGGGGUAGAGCACUGUUUCGGCAAGGGGGUCAUCCCGACUUACCAACCCGAUGCAAACUGCGAAUACCGGAGAAUGUUAUCACGGGAGACACACGGCGGGUGCUAACGUCCGUCGUGAAGAGGGAAACAACCCAGACCGCCAGCUAAGGUCCCAAAGUCAUGGUUAAGUGGGAAACGAUGUGGGAAGGCCCAGACAGCCAGGAUGUUGGCUUAGAAGCAGCCAUCAUUUAAAGAAAGCGUAAUAGCUCACUGGUCGAGUCGGCCUGCGCGGAAGAUGUAACGGGGCUAAACCAUG
RNAcentral lists this ribosomal RNA (969 nucleotides) under Escherichia coli. Its description in RNAcentral is "partial 23S ribosomal RNA". It matches the Rfam family "Bacterial large subunit ribosomal RNA", at positions 181 to 1191 of the family's 2925-position model. The record is from RNAcentral. Lineage: Bacteria; Pseudomonadati; Pseudomonadota; Gammaproteobacteria; Enterobacterales; Enterobacteriaceae.